Molecule: ribosomal RNA, 443 nt
Filed under: uncultured bacterium
Lineage: Bacteria
Description: partial 16S ribosomal RNA
Rfam family: Bacterial small subunit ribosomal RNA
Source: RNAcentral
CCUACGGGCGGCAGCAGUGGGGAAUAUUGGGCAAUGGGCGCAAGCCUGACCCAGCAACGCCGCGUGAAGGAAGAAGGCCCUCGGGUUGUAAACUUCUUUUGUCAGGGACGAAGCAAGUGACGGUACCUGACUAAUAAGCCACGGCUAACUACGUGCCAGCAGCCGCGGUAAUACGUAGGUGGCAAGCGUUAUCCGGAUUUACUGGGUGUAAAGGGCGUGUAGGCGGGGAAGCAAGUCAGAUGUGAAAUUCCAGGGCUCAACCCUGGAACUGCAUUUGAAACUGUUUUUCUUGAGUGAUGGAGAGGCAGGCGGAAUUCCGUGUGUAGCGGUGAAAUGCGUAGAUAUACGGAGGAACACCAGUGGCGAAGGCGGCCUGCUGGACAGUAACUGACGCUGAGGCGCGAAAGCGUGGGGAGCAAACAGGAUUAGAUACCCGAGUAGUC